RNAcentral lists this small RNA (551 nucleotides) under Pan troglodytes (chimpanzee). RNAcentral's name for it is "processed transcript". Lineage: Eukaryota; Metazoa; Chordata; Mammalia; Primates; Hominidae. The record is from RNAcentral.
GAAGGACUGAGCUAGUUUGCGAAACCACAGCACACUUUGGCAAAGAGGGAAUGCACAACAAAACGGAUGGGGUGGCUGGACGAGAGCAGCUCUUGGCUCAGCAAAGAAUGCACAGUAUGAUCAGCUCAGGUAAGAUCCUCUUUCAUAACUGAGACGUUUUAGGUUUGAAAGGGGGCUGGCUUGGGAAAUGCAGCUAAGAAAAGCACCUCUCUUAAGGAAAUUGCUGCUUUUUCGUGUUGAUGUUGCUAUUUUCUUGGUGCGUCUGUAGGGUUUAACUUAGAUCCCUUCCAUUACUGUUUCUGUGCAUAUUCAGUCUGCUUAGGGACAGCAGCUUCUGAAUGAAAUUGCAAACUAUUGCUUCUGAUGAAAGAUGAGACUGAGAUAAGUAAAAUGUAGUUGGGGGUGUUUUGCCUUUACUAUGCAACUAGAAAAAGGAGCUGUGUACUGAUUGUAAGCCUAUUCUAAUAGGACUUUAAAAAUCAGGUAAGUUCAUAUUGGGGCUUCAGUUUAAACUGCAGCCCCGCUAGCCUGACGAUUUUAUAUUUACUCUG